CUCACUGUAGCUCAGUUGGUAGAGCAUGGUGUUUGCAACGCCAGGGUUAUGGGUUCGAUUCCCACGGGGGGC
Molecule: transfer RNA, 72 nt
Filed under: Salmo salar (Atlantic salmon)
Lineage: Eukaryota; Metazoa; Chordata; Actinopteri; Salmoniformes; Salmonidae
Rfam family: tRNA
About the family: Transfer RNA (tRNA) molecules are approximately 80 nucleotides in length. Their secondary structure includes four short double-helical elements and three loops (D, anti-codon, and T loops).
Source: Rfam by way of RNAcentral